UACGUAGGGUGCGAGCGUUGUCCGGAAUUAUUGGGCGUAAAGAGCUUGCAGGCGGUCUGUCGCGUCUGCUGUGAAAAUCCGGGGCUCAACCCCGGACUUGCAGUGGGUACGGGCAGACUAGAGUGUGGUAGGGGAGACUGGAAUUCCUGGUGUAGCGGUGAAAUGCGCAGAUAUCAGGAGGAACACCGAUGGCGAAGGCAGGUCUCUGGGCCACUACUGACGCUGAGAAGCGAAAGCAUGGGGAGCGAACAGG
Molecule: ribosomal RNA, 253 nt
Filed under: uncultured bacterium
Lineage: Bacteria
Description: partial 16S ribosomal RNA
Rfam family: Bacterial small subunit ribosomal RNA
Source: RNAcentral